Molecule: small RNA, 160 nt
Filed under: Drosophila guanche
Lineage: Eukaryota; Metazoa; Arthropoda; Insecta; Diptera; Drosophilidae
Source: RNAcentral
ACGAACAGAAGUAAUAAAGGCUUUUGGUUGUGAUGUGAAAAUGAAUGAAAAUAUUUCAUUUCCGUGCACUUUUUGGGCUGAGAUUAUUGUGGCGUGUGUGUGUGUGUGUGUGUGUGUGGCGGUUUCUGGAACGGACUCUUAAUUAACACGCAAACUCGUG